UACGAAGGGGGCUAGCGUUGCUCGGAAUCACUGGGCGUAAAGCGCACGUAGGCGGCUUUUUAAGUCAGGGGUGAAAUCCUGGAGCUCAACUCCAGAACUGCCUUUGAUACUGAGAAGCUUGAGUCCGGGAGAGGUGAGUGGAACUGCGAGUGUAGAGGUGAAAUUCGUAGAUAUUCGCAAGAACACCAGUGGCGAAGGCGGCUCACUGGCCCGAUACUGACGCUGAGGUGCGAAAGCGUGGGGAGCAAACAGG
RNAcentral lists this ribosomal RNA (253 nucleotides) under uncultured bacterium. RNAcentral's name for it is "partial 16S ribosomal RNA". It matches the Rfam family "Bacterial small subunit ribosomal RNA", at positions 524 to 776 of the family's 1533-position model. The record is from RNAcentral.